This 341-nucleotide ribosomal RNA is filed under the name Staphylococcus pseudintermedius. Its description in RNAcentral is "partial 23S ribosomal RNA". It matches the Rfam family "Bacterial large subunit ribosomal RNA", at positions 1271 to 1608 of the family's 2925-position model. The record is from RNAcentral. Lineage: Bacteria; Bacillati; Bacillota; Bacilli; Caryophanales; Staphylococcaceae.
AUGUGGAGCGCUUAGAAGUGAGAAUGCCGGUGUGAGUAGCGAAAGACGGGUGAGAAUCCCGUCCACCGAUUGACUAAGGUUUCCAGAGGAAGGCUCGUCCGCUCUGGGUUAGUCGGGUCCUAAGCUGAGGCCGACAGGCGUAGGCGAUGGAUAACAGGUUGAUAUUCCUGUACCACCAUUAUUCGUUUUAAGCGAUGGGGGGACGCAGUAGGAUAGGCGAAGCGUGCUGUUGGAGUGCACGUCCAAGCAGUGAGAUUGAGUGUUAGGCAAAUCCGGCACUCUUAAGAUUGAGCUGUGAUGGGGAGAGGAACUUGUUCCUCGAGUCGUUGAUUUCACACUGC